RNAcentral lists this long non-coding RNA (361 nucleotides) under Drosophila guanche. The record is from RNAcentral. Lineage: Eukaryota; Metazoa; Arthropoda; Insecta; Diptera; Drosophilidae.
AAUUUUAUGUUGUACAUGAAUAUAAUCAUCAUUUAAAUGAGAUGUUUACAUAUGAAGGUAAAUAUUAUCACAAUCUAAAGGUAAUAAAACUGUUAAAAGAUUAAGAUUUACGCUAUUUCAGGACCAAAUUGUAUCGAUAAAUUUUGCCAAGUGCUUCGAUUGAAAACCAUGGGACUUUAUGAAAACUACUGGAAAUCCGCUAAAAAACCAAUCUACGAGUUCAACAUUUGGGAUGAGGACUAUCAGGAACAUGGAGAGUGCUAUGCCUGUGAUGAGCCCAUUUCGACUGACGACCGGGAGAAGUUUUUUAACCAAUUCACAGGUCAAUAUGUAGGUCCUAUUCAUAAGGUUUGUAAGGAUC